This 205-nucleotide long non-coding RNA is filed under the name Gossypium raimondii (Peruvian cotton). Its description in RNAcentral is "long non-coding RNA (GRAI_LNC002612)". The record is from RNAcentral. Lineage: Eukaryota; Viridiplantae; Streptophyta; Magnoliopsida; Malvales; Malvaceae.
UGUUGCAUUGCUUAUGUGAAUGGCGAGUGUUUCAGCUUGUCCUACUAUCAUUUCAGUACUACCAUAUUUUCCCUGAAAUAUUUCAUGUACUUCCAAAUAAACAAGCAAGUAACCACAAAAAAAAAAAAAAAUCCCAUUUAACAACUCCAAGACCAAAAUCUGACUGGUUCUUUAAAUUUGAUAUCAUCCAGUCUUCUAAAUCUGC